Molecule: ribosomal RNA, 319 nt
Filed under: uncultured eukaryote
Lineage: Eukaryota
Description: partial 18S ribosomal RNA
Rfam family: Eukaryotic small subunit ribosomal RNA
Source: RNAcentral
CCCUUAGAUGUCCUGGGCCGCACGCGUGCUACACUGACGCCUACAGCGAGUACUUCCCAGCCCCGAGAGGUGGCUGGUAAUCAGCAAUAGGCGUCGUGAUGGGGAUAGAUCUUUGGAAUUAUGGAUCUUGAACGAGGAAUACCUAGUAAGCGCAGGUCAUUAGCCUGCGCUGAUUAAGUCCCUGCCCUUUGUACACACCGCCCGUCGCUCCUACCGAUUUCGAGUGGUCCGGUGAAUCUUUCGGACUGCGCGCGGCCUCGUGCCGUGUCGCGGAAAGUCAGGUAAACCUUAUCACUUAGAGGAAGGAGAAGUCGUAACA